Molecule: ribosomal RNA, 230 nt
Filed under: Paenibacillus riograndensis
Lineage: Bacteria; Bacillati; Bacillota; Bacilli; Caryophanales; Paenibacillaceae
Description: partial 23S ribosomal RNA
Rfam family: Bacterial large subunit ribosomal RNA
Source: RNAcentral
ACCGGGAUGGACGUACCGCUGGUGCACCAGUUGUUCCGCCAGGAGCAUGGCUGGGUAGCUACGUACGGACGGGAUAAGCGCUGAAAGCAUCUAAGCGUGAAGCCCCCCUCAAGAUGAGAUUUCCCAGCAUGUAAGACCCCUUGAAGACGACGAGGUAGAUAGGUUGGAGGUGGAAGCACGGCAACGUGUGGAGCUGACCAAUACUAAUCGGUCGAGGGCUUAUCCAAAAA